GUGCCAGCCGCCGCGGUAAUACGUAGGGUGCGAGCGUUAAUCGGAAUUACUGGGCGUAAAGCGUGCGCAGGCGGUUAUGUAAGACAGAGGUGAAAUCCCCGGGCUCAACCUGGGAACUGCCUUUGUGACUGCAUAGCUAGAGUACGGUAGAGGGGGAUGGAAUUCCGCGUGUAGCAGUGAAAUGCGUAGAUAUGCGGAGGAACACCGAUGGCGAAGGCAAUCCCCUGGACCUGUACUGACGCUCAUGCACGAAAGCGUGGGGAGCAAACAGGAUUAGAUACCCUGGUAGUCCACGCCCUAAACGAUGUCAACUGGUUGUUGGGAAUUAACUUUCUCAGUAACGAAGCUAACGCGUGAAGUUGACCGCCUGGGGAGUACGGCCGCAAGGUUGAAACUUAAAUAAAUUGACGG
This 411-nucleotide ribosomal RNA is filed under the name uncultured bacterium. RNAcentral's name for it is "bacterial SSU rRNA". It matches the Rfam family "Bacterial small subunit ribosomal RNA", at positions 505 to 916 of the family's 1533-position model. The record is from RNAcentral.